GCGAGAUUUUGUCAAAUACGAAGUUUACAUGGAAUGUGGAGUGUUUCAUACUGUGUUUUGCACUAAUUUUCGGAAAUUUAAAUCAAAUUGGGGAUGAUUUUGGCCGAAAUUGGAUUCUUCGGGUCUUGGGCUCGAGGGCUACGUAAAAAGCCCCUAAUUUCAAGUUUUUAUUUAGAAGCAGAAUGGAAAUUAAAGGUGCAGUGGGUCAGCCAACUACGUAUCCGGUAACGGAAUUAUCAUUGCGAAAGAUUGAGAGAAAUAAAUACGAGAUUUGACUGCUCAAAAGUCAAAAUCGUGAAUCUGUUGCCAAGCUUGACUGAUGCACUAUGGCGAAUGAUCAACGGAAUUUCAGAACGAAAACUGAGAGGCAUUUUGGCCCUAACUAGAGGAAUAUUCGAUUAAUUGCUAUCAUGGGCACUAUUUUGAGAAAUAUUUUGGAUGCAAUGUUAUUGAAUUUGAGUAAAUCAAGAUGAUGAAGAUGUUUGAUUUGUAAUAUGUACUCUCAUUAAUGCGAAAUUCGAUGACUACGAGAUUCAUAAGAAUAUUAUGCAGCUCAUAAGAAGACAUCAGUAUACUAUAGCCUAAUAUUUUUUUAGAGCCUAAAAUGUGGGCCUAUGUUUUAUUUAGGAAUGAUAUCAUCAUACGAAACAUUUGACAGAUUCGCUUCGAAUUAAAUAUGAAAUUUAAAAGAUUCGAGUUCAUCUUCGAUACUUUCUUCUUAAAUUCAGUGAUCAAGAGACGGUAAAUUAAUUUUACGUGAUGCACGAGUAUGAUUUACUGUAUAUGAUGUGUUUCGUUUGUGUUUGUUAUUUUCUAUAACCAAAUAAAUGAACGCAGAUA
Long non-coding RNA from Planococcus citri (citrus mealybug), 840 nucleotides. RefSeq lists it as uncharacterized. The record is from RefSeq and is a predicted model, not a curated record. NCBI's taxonomy places the organism in Eukaryota, Metazoa, Arthropoda, Insecta, Hemiptera, Pseudococcidae. The transcript is spliced from 3 exons.